RNAcentral lists this ribosomal RNA (252 nucleotides) under uncultured bacterium. RNAcentral's name for it is "partial 16S ribosomal RNA". It matches the Rfam family "Bacterial small subunit ribosomal RNA", at positions 524 to 776 of the family's 1533-position model. The record is from RNAcentral.
UACGGAGGAUGCGAGCGUUAUCCGGAUUUAUUGGGUUUAAAGGGUGCGUAGGCGGGAUGCCAAGUCAGCGGUAAAAAUGCGGUGCUCAACGCCGUCGAGCCGUUGAAACUGGCGUUCUUGAGUGGGCGAGAAGUAUGCGGAAUGCGUGGUGUAGCGGUGAAAUGCAUAGAUAUCACGCAGAACUCCGAUUGCGAAGGCAGCGUACCGGCGCCCAACUGACGCUGAAGCACGAAGGCGUGGGUAUCGAACAGG